Molecule: ribosomal RNA, 440 nt
Filed under: uncultured bacterium
Lineage: Bacteria
Description: partial 16S ribosomal RNA
Rfam family: Bacterial small subunit ribosomal RNA
Source: RNAcentral
CCUACGGGAGGCAGCAGUGGGGAAUAUUGCACAAUGGGGGAAACCCUGAUGCAGCGACGCCGCGUGAGUGAAGAAGUAUUUCGGUAUGUAAAGCUCUAUCAGCAGGGAAGAAAGUGACGGUACCUGCCUAACAAGCACCGGCUAACUACGUGCUAGCAGCAGCGGUAAUACGUCGGGGGCAAGCGGUAUCCGGAUUUACUGGGUGUAAAGGGAGCGUCGUUGGCGAUUAAGGUCCGAAGUGAAAACCCAGGGCUUAAUCAUGGAACUGCUCUUGAGACUGGGGAGCUUGAGUGUGGGAGAGGCAGGCGGAAUUCCUAGUGUAGCAGUGAAAUGCGUAGAUAUGAGGAGGAACACCGGUGGCGAAGGCGGCCUGCUGGACCGUAACUGACGUUGAGGCACGAAAGCGUGGGGAGCAAACAGGAUUAGAUACCCCAGUAGUC